GUCCACGCCCUAAACGAUGAUGACUAGUUGUUGGAGGAGUUAAAUCCUUUAGUAACGAAGCUAACGCGUUAAGUUCGCCGCCUGGGAGUACGCUCGCAAGAGUGAAACUCAAAGGAAUUGACGGGGCCCGCACAAGCGGUGGAGUAUGUGGUUUAAUUCGAUGCAACGCGCAGAACCUUACCUGGUCUUGACAUGUCGCGAAUCCUUCAGAGAUGAGGGAGUGCCUUUCGGGAACGCGAACACAGGUGCUGCAUGGCUGUCGU
This 263-nucleotide ribosomal RNA is filed under the name uncultured bacterium. RNAcentral describes it as "partial 16S ribosomal RNA". It matches the Rfam family "Bacterial small subunit ribosomal RNA", at positions 793 to 1055 of the family's 1533-position model. The record is from RNAcentral.